CCAGACUCCUACGGGAGGCAGCAGUGGGGAAUACUGCACAAUGGGGGAAACCCUGAUGCAGCAACGCCGCGUGAGUGAUGACGGCCUUCGGGUUGUAAAGCUCUGUCUUCAGGGACGAUAAUGACGGUACCUGAGGAGGAAGCCACGGCUAACUACGUGCCAGCAGCCGCGGUAAUACGUAGGGAGCAAGCGUUAUCCGGAAUUAUUGGGUGUAAAGGGUGCGUAGACGGGAUAACAAGUUGGUUGUGAAACCCCUCGGCUCAACUGAGGAACUGCAACCAAAACUAUUAUUCUUGAGUGCAGGAGAGGAAAGUGGAAUUCCUAGUGUAGCGGUGAAAUGCGUAGAUAUUAGGAAGAACACCGGUGGCGAAGGCGACUUUCUGGACUGUAACUGACGUUGAGGCACGAAAGUGUGGGGAGCAAACAGGAUUAGAUACCCCCGUA
Molecule: ribosomal RNA, 444 nt
Filed under: uncultured bacterium
Lineage: Bacteria
Description: partial 16S ribosomal RNA
Rfam family: Bacterial small subunit ribosomal RNA
Source: RNAcentral